UCGUGAAUAGCUAGGGCCAGAAGAAUCGAAUUCCCAAGCCGAGGGCCGCGGGUUCGAAUCCCGUCUUCCGCUCCA
Molecule: transfer RNA, 75 nt
Filed under: Desulfitobacterium chlororespirans DSM 11544
Lineage: Bacteria; Bacillati; Bacillota; Clostridia; Eubacteriales; Desulfitobacteriaceae
Description: tRNA_Pseudo_CCC
Source: RNAcentral